RNAcentral lists this ribosomal RNA (253 nucleotides) under uncultured bacterium. RNAcentral describes it as "partial 16S ribosomal RNA". It matches the Rfam family "Bacterial small subunit ribosomal RNA", at positions 524 to 776 of the family's 1533-position model. The record is from RNAcentral.
UACAGAGGGUGCGAGCGUUAAUCGGAAUUACUGGGCGUAAAGCGCGCGUAGGCGGCUUUGCAAGUCGAGUGUGAAAUCCCCAGGCUUAACCUGGGAACUGCAUUCGAGACUGCAUGGCUAGAGUAUGGGAGAGGGAAGUGGAAUUUCAGGUGUAGCGGUGAAAUGCGCAGAUAUCAGGAGGAACACCGGUGGCGAAGGCGGGUCUCUGGGCCGUAACUGACGCUGAGACUCGAAAGCGUGGGGAGCAAACAGG